RNAcentral lists this ribosomal RNA (253 nucleotides) under uncultured bacterium. RNAcentral describes it as "partial 16S ribosomal RNA". It matches the Rfam family "Bacterial small subunit ribosomal RNA", at positions 524 to 776 of the family's 1533-position model. The record is from RNAcentral.
GACAGAGGGUGCAAACGUUGUUCGGAAUUACUGGGCGUAAAGCGCGUGUAGGCGGCCCGGAAAGUCGGAUGUGAAAGCCCUGGGCUUAACCCGGGAAGUGCAUUCGAAACUCCCGGGCUUGAGUUCUGGAGAGGAAGGCGGAAUUCUCGGUGUAGAGGUGAAAUUCGUAGAUAUCGAGAGGAACACCGGUGGCGAAGGCGGCCUUCUGGACAGUGACUGACGCUGAGACGCGAAAGCGUGGGGAGCAAACAGG